This 1415-nucleotide long non-coding RNA is filed under the name Lytechinus variegatus (green sea urchin). Its description in RNAcentral is "uncharacterized LOC121411454, transcript variant X1". Lineage: Eukaryota; Metazoa; Echinodermata; Echinoidea; Temnopleuroida; Toxopneustidae. The record is from RNAcentral.
GAAGAGCGGCGCCACAUUCAAGAAGCAAGCAAGCUCGGAAUUAUUUACUGAAAAGAUGUUUUCUUUCAAAUCGAUGGUGAUUUAGAGGAUCAUUGAACAUUACCAGUCACAGUCCAUAACGUUUUGGAGAGACGGAUACCAUUGUCUUCAGCAGCUUUGAAACAUGACUAGGAAUUGGUGGUACAUGUAACAGCAAGGAUGUUGCAGAGAAUGACCUCGGGAUCUUUCUGAAGAAGAUGAACUAUGGCAGAAAACAGUGAGGAUGUUGCAGAGAAUGACCUUGGGAUCUUUGUGACGAAGGUGAACCCUGGCAGGUAACAGUGAGGAUAUUGCAGAGAAUGACUUCAGGGUCUUUUUGAAGAGGGUGAUCCUUGGCAGUUAUCAACGAGGAUGUUGCAGAGAAUGACCAUGGUAUCUUUGUGAAGAGGGCGAUGCCAGGCGGUCAAAUUCAGAGAGUGGGCGUCUACGUGAUGAAGAGAAUUGGAUCAAGAGUGUCAAGGAGAGCUGAGUCAUUACAAUUUCUAUUGUUGACCACUGACCGCUAGUGAUUUUAAGCGGAGACCAGUGGACCAGUGAAAUAAAGAAAAUAUGCAUAAGAAAUUCAGUGUCACCAAAGAUUGCAAAGACCAAUCACUUUGAGUCCUAUUGUUUAUAAUCUUGUUCUAAAAUUUUCAUAUAAUGAUAGUUUUAAAACCUUUAUUCAACCAAGUUGAACCAUGGAAAUAAGAGUAGCCUACUGGGCAGGAUUUCUUGAUUUUGUUGCUUGGCUUUUGCCAGCCUGUAACGUUUUAAUCUUGUAGCGAGGACACUUCCAUUAUGUUCUUUCUGUUGGUAACAUUUAGAUACUCUGCUGUAUUUCCACAGCUGAAUACCAGUAACUAUAAGUUGCAAACAGACAAAACAAAUGGGUAUGCCCAUGCAAACAGAAUUAUUAUGUUAUAGGCUGAUAAAUUCAAGCAAGGAAAUUGAGAAAUCCUGCUUGGUGAUCUUGCUUUGAUUGUAAUAUCAGAUGGAAAUUAAGGUCCUUGGCUGUGCCUUUCAAAUGUAUAUAUUUAUUUCAUGCGGUCCACCGGUCUCAAAGUAACUGAGUAUCCAAUUGAAUGGGCCCUCCUUUGCCGCUCAGCCCAAGUUUCAAUGGAAGCAAGCACAGGGUGCUAUUGGAGGAUUCAUCUGGCAGAAGUGGCCCGACAGGAAUCGUGGUAUAUGGAGCUACAGUAGAUCGUAAAGAAGUCAUCGCUAUGAUGGAGGAUGAACUCAACGUACUCAAGGAAAUGUCUAGAAAUAUGUCACUAGAACAAGUGCACUUACAAGGAAGAGAAUGCUAGAGGAGGGAGGAAUGGAUUCUGACCUUCCGGUUAUCUUGCCAAACAUAAAGGAUGAACUCUUUAACAGGAGCUAAGGAGACGGUUAAGGUG